CUUUGGGAUAUCAGCUUGAAUUAAACUGCUAAUCCAUGUCUCGUUGUAAAAAAAAAACAGUCUUUUGAUUUUUUAUUUAAAAAGUAGGGACUUAAAAGAUAGAUUUUUUUUCUGUGAACUCAAACAUGGCAUAUUUACUUAUGUGUUAGCAAGACACUAAAAUUAAUUGUAAAUAACUGUUUAGGCUAUGCUCUAGGUCAGAUUUCUGUUUAGAGAAUGCUACCUUUUCGAUGAAUGCUGGAAAACUAUACAGAAUGGUUAACAGAUUCUUGAAAUUUACUUGCAGUUCAUGGAAACGUUUAAACAGGGGUUUAAGAAGAUGUAUCCAGCGGGUUUUUAUUAAGGUUGAGGACUUCUAAAUAUGUUGUCAUCAUUUGCUAUGUAUUCAAUAACUUUUUAUACAGCAGAGUAAGAAUGGGAGUUUUAUAAGGGUAAGAACAAAAACUUACAAAAGGAUACCUAAUCAAUAAACCUUCAGAACCUCUACUAUAGCUCAAGAAAAUAACUGAUCUUUACGGUUGUUUCUAAUUUUAAACUUGCAUGAUUCUAUGAAAAACUUGAUUACUUCGUGAAUACUAAUUUAAUGAAAAAUUUUGCAUUGAACAUUUAUGCAGUGCUGGAAGCUGUGGCUGUAUACGUGCAAGUUCAAUAUUUAUGACUCUGUGUUGGGCAGAAAAAUGGCCUCCCAAAAAGGUCCAUGUUCCAAACCCCAGAAUUUAUAUUAUGCUAUAUUACAAAGGUAAGUUACGGUGACAGAUGUAAUUAAAGUUGCUUAUCAUUUUAUUCUAAAAUAGGAAGAUUUUCCUGGAUUAUCCAGAUGGGCCAAAUGUAACCACAAAUGUCCUUACAAGAGAGAGGCAGAAGUGAUGGGAUGUGAGAAAGACCUAAGAGCCAUUGUUGGCUUUGAAGAUGAAAAGAUGCCCAAGAAUGAAAGAUUGGGCAGCUUCUACAAAUGAGAAAGUGAGGCUCCCCUAGAUUCUCAAGAAAGAAACAGAGCCCUCCUGACACCCUGAUUUUAGCCUGCCAUGACUCACUUCAAAUAUCUGACAUCCAGUGCUGUUCUGGUAAACCAACUCUUAAAAAACAAGAAACAAAAACUCUGAUGGGUAGCAUUUGUCAUUUUUUGUCAUGUAAAUAUCCCCACCAUGGCUAAUUACAGCAUCGCAUCAUUAAAUGUACAGCUGUGAAGACCUGUACAAAUGGCUCUCACAGGCCCAUAGGAGCAAGUCCCAGCACCUCACUUUUGUGUUUUCCAGUUAAUAAACUCAGAAGAAGAAAAAAAAGAA
Manis pentadactyla (Chinese pangolin) is the source of this 1286-nucleotide long non-coding RNA. RefSeq lists it as uncharacterized. The transcript is spliced from 2 exons. Lineage: Eukaryota; Metazoa; Chordata; Mammalia; Pholidota; Manidae. The record is from RefSeq and is a predicted model, not a curated record.